AAAACCAGCCGUUCAUUUGGAAAAAAGGGUGUGGCACUUCGUUAACCAGUUCCAUUCUGUUCAUCAAAUGAUAUUUUUAUAUAAAAGCAACUUUCUACAUUGAUUGAUUGGAGCCUGCCAUAUCACUUACGAUAGCUUUUACGUGAAACUUCCGCAUUGCCCAAUUCACAAUUCGGAGCAAGUUUCAGUUCCUUUCCCUUUUGCAUAGAAACAAACUGCUCAACCCAAUAUUUUGAAAUCUAAGGUAUUCGAACACAUCAGGGAGUGUUAUACCUUUCUUUAAAAACGCACUUCGCAAGUUCUUUAUGAGAUGUGGAACAUCCGCAAGAAAAAUCAGCCGUUCAUUUGGAAAAAAGGGUGUGGCACUUCGUUAACCAGUUCCAUUCUGUUCAUCCAAUGAUAUUUUUAUAUAAAAGCAACUUUCUACAUUGUUUGAUUGGAGCCUGCCAUAUCACUUACGAUAGCUUUUACGUGAAACUUCCGCUUGCCCAAUUCACAAACUAUGCUUUGUACAAUAAUAGGCCACAAUUGCAGUCCUUGCACCAAAUUUCCCGUUUAAUAGUAAGCUACAGAAACAACUGAUUUAGUCGCAAUCUGGAGAGACAUUCACCAACCUACAACUUGUUUCCAUUUUGUGGUAAUUCCCUUGGCCAUAAAACAUAGAACAUGGGUUGCUGGGUGAAUUGUGGUGGUUUCCUUUUUUUAUCUACAAAUUCGGGGCUGACCUUUCCAACAAACUGAUUAUUGAGUGCUACAUCAUACUGCAUGGAAUUGGAAAUUUGAACUUCAUCCAGAAUUAAGGUACACAUGCGUUCUUGGUCUUCAGCAUGGCACAUUUUUAUUUCCAUCCAAUCCAGCAUGGUGGUUUGUAUGCCAGGAAACAUCUUGACAUUGACUAUCCGACGGCAAACAGUUCGAAAACUGGGCAGUGGAUACCUAAGUUUUCUUAAAAAGUCAUAUCUGGAAGUGUGUAAACAAACAAGCUGUUAAUCCCGAGAGUGCAAGAGUUGUAUUUAUUAAAACUGCUUUCUUACCCUUGAACUCCGGUUGCACACCUUGAACUGCUCCUUGACAGUUUCAUCGGACCAAGCAGAUACCACUUUCCUUGAUGACCUUUUUAACAUGCUA
This is a non-coding RNA of Ciona intestinalis (vase tunicate), 1128 nucleotides long. Lineage: Eukaryota; Metazoa; Chordata; Ascidiacea; Phlebobranchia; Cionidae. The record is from RefSeq and is a predicted model, not a curated record.